This 490-nucleotide ribosomal RNA is filed under the name uncultured bacterium. RNAcentral describes it as "bacterial SSU rRNA". It matches the Rfam family "Bacterial small subunit ribosomal RNA", at positions 1054 to 1533 of the family's 1533-position model. The record is from RNAcentral.
GUCAGCUCGUGUCGUGAGAUGUUGGGUUAAGUCCCGCAACGAGCGCAACCCUUAAGCUUAGUUGCCAUCAUUAAGUUGGGCACUCUAAGUUGACUGCCGGUGACAAACCGGAGGAAGGUGGGGAUGACGUCAAAUCAUCAUGCCCCUUAUGAUUUGGGCUACACACGUGCUACAAUGGACAAUACAAAGGGCAGCGAAACCGCGAGGUCAAGCAAAUCCCAUAAAGUUGUUCUCAGUUCGGAUUGUAGUCUGCAACUCGACUACAUGAAGCUGGAAUCGCUAGUAAUCGUAGAUCAGCAUGCUACGGUGAAUACGUUCCCGGGUCUUGUACACACCGCCCGUCACACCACGAGAGUUUGUAACACCCGAAGCCGGUGGAGUAACCUUUUAGGAGCUAGCCGUCGAAGGUGGGACAAAUGAUUGGGGUGAAGUCGUAACAAGGUAGCCGUAUCGGAAGGUGCGGCUGGAUCACCUCCUUUCUAAGGAUAUA